Molecule: ribosomal RNA, 170 nt
Filed under: Rothia sp. (in: high G+C Gram-positive bacteria)
Lineage: Bacteria; Bacillati; Actinomycetota; Actinomycetes; Micrococcales; Micrococcaceae
Description: Rothia sp. (human oral metagenome) partial 16S ribosomal RNA
Rfam family: Bacterial small subunit ribosomal RNA
Source: RNAcentral
UCCCGGGUCUUGUACACACCGCCCGUCACACCAUGGGAGUCGGAAAUGCCCGAAGUCAGUGGCCUAACCGCAAGGGAGGAGCUGCCGAAGGCAGGUCUGGUGACUGGGGUGAAGUCGUAACAAGGUAGCCGUAUCGGAAGGUGCGGCUGGAUCACCUCCUUUCUAAGGAA